This 1630-nucleotide long non-coding RNA is filed under the name Equus caballus (horse). RNAcentral's name for it is "lncRNA (ENSECAG00000056819.1)". Lineage: Eukaryota; Metazoa; Chordata; Mammalia; Perissodactyla; Equidae. The record is from RNAcentral.
GGGGAGAGCACUAAGCACAUUGGUGAGGCCGGAACAAAGUAGCAAGAGUGAGUCACAAAUGAUACAGUUGAAGCUAGUCCACCAAGGUUCAUGAAGGUGAGGCGGAGGAGUUGGAGGUGAUGGGAGAAGUCAGAGUGAGCUGCUUUCAGAGGGCCUGAGCAGGGGGAAUAUACGUUUUAGCAGAGGGGAGCAGGAUGGCGAGAAACCAGAAACAAAAAGACCCCAAAGAUGUCCCCACAGGAUUGGUCCUUCCUGAUCUGCAAUCUCUGUGAAAGAAACGGCUGGCCCGUGGACAUUUCUACAGAGAUAAAGUCAAAGAUCGGUUUGUGGGGGCGGCGACAGGGCACAGGCAGGAUUUGGAAGAUUGAGGCCUAAUUUAGCUCAGAUCACCGUCUGAUUGCCCCACCUGUGCUCUCCUUGGCAUCUCCCACUCACCUCACGCUUCUGACAUGGGUGCUGCCUGCUCAUUGCCAGCACAGAGAGAGGAGAAACAACUUCAUCCUGGCCUUCUACCCAGCCUGAAGCUGCAUGUGGCAUGAGGUUACCCAGCCAUCAUGCAAGAGGGUCCAAUCUAGACCCCAAGGAGAGGAACUGAGGCCCCCAGCCAAUAGCCAGCAUCCACUGCCAGACAUGGGAGUGAAGGAUCAAAUGCAGGACCGGUCAGUAAGCAGCUGAGGGAUCUCUGUCCAUGGCCCCGUAGUUGGCCCUGUGCUGCUAUGAGGAUGAAGGAGGCAGGGGCCCUGAAGCCCCUAGGAAUUUUAUUUGCUGUUUGGAGGCAUCAAGUUCUUAAUAAAAGUAGCAUCAACGCAGAAGACCUGGGUUCAUGUCACAGCUGAGCUCCUGCUCGCUGAGUCACCUGGGGUAGCCCACGGAGCCCUCUAAGCCUCAAUUUCUUCAGCUGCAAGUGGUCCUGAUGGCUGGUUUUGGAUCAAACAAUGCAGUGCAUGUGAAAAAGAGAUGAUAGGCUUUAAAAAGAGUUCUUCCUUCCACAGGUAUCUAUUGGGGGUCUUUUACUGUGCAAAUGCUUAGGAUCUAAAGAUACGAGUAACAGGCCAGACUCCUGCCCUCAGGAAGUUCCUCCAGUGGCUGUUAUUAUUGAGGAUAGUUGAAUAAACGGGGCCACUCACAAGAAGCAAAUGGAGAGCUUUGUCAGAUUAUGGAAGAUUGUAUUUCCAAAGAUAGCAGCCCCCUACCCCACCCCAUGCUCUUCUUGUCACGUGACAGACUCCAGGGUGGAGUUAUGUUCCCUCCCCUUGAAUCUGAGUGGGGCUGUGACUGCUGUGACCAAUGGGUUAUGAGGAAAGCAGUGUAGAUCAUCAAAAGGUGAGGUCAUAAAAAGAAUAUAGUUCAUGCCUGGUUCUCUCUCAGUUACCCAGCCAUCAUGCAAGAGGGUCCAAUCUAGACCCCAAGGAGAGGAACUGAGGCCCCCAGCCAAUAGCCAGCAUCCACUGCCAGACAUGGGAGUGAAGGAUCAUGCAAACAAUUCCAGUUCCCAGCUUUCAAGCCUUCCAGGUGUGACCCCAGACAUCGUGGAGCAGAGACAAGCCAUCCCCACUUUGCUCUGUCCAAAUUCCUGACCCACAGAACCCAGGAACAUAACAAAGGGGGUCUCAUUCCCCUAAGUCUUGGG